RNAcentral lists this ribosomal RNA (253 nucleotides) under uncultured bacterium. RNAcentral describes it as "partial 16S ribosomal RNA". It matches the Rfam family "Bacterial small subunit ribosomal RNA", at positions 524 to 776 of the family's 1533-position model. The record is from RNAcentral.
UACAGAGGGGGCAAGCGUUGUUCGGAAUUACUGGGCGUAAAGCGCACGUAGGCGGCUUUGUAAGUUAGAGGUGAAAGCCCGGAGCUCAACUCCGGAAUUGCCUUUAAGACUGCAUCGCUUGAAUCCGGGAGAGGUGAGUGGAAUUCCGAGUGUAGAGGUGAAAUUCGUAGAUAUUCGGAAGAACACCAGUGGCGAAGGCGGCUCACUGGACCGGUAUUGACGCUGAGGUGCGAAAGCGUGGGGAGCAAACAGG